ACUGGAAUUCCUGGUGUAGCGGUGAAAUGCGCAGAUAUCAGGAGGAACACCGAUGGCGAAGGCAGGUCUCUGGGCAUUAACUGACGCUGAGGAGCGAAAGCAUGGGGAGCGAACAGGAUUAGAUACCCUGGUAGUCCAUGCCGUAAACGUUGGGCACUAGGUGUGGGGGACAUUCCACGUUUUCCGCGCCGUAGCUAACGCAUUAAGUGCCCCGCCUGGGGAGUACGGCCGCAAGGCUAAAACUCAAAGGAAUUGACGGGGGCCCGCACAAGCGGCGGAGCAUGCGGAUUAAUUCGAUGCAACGCGAAGAACCUUACCAAGGCUUGACAUGGACUGGAAAUACCUGGAAACAGGUGCCCCGCUUGCGGUCGGUUCACAGGUGGUGCAUGGUUGUCGUCAGCUCGUGUCGUGAGAUGUUGGGUUAAGUCCCGCAACGAGCGCAACCCUCGUUCUAUGUUGCCAGCGCGUGAUGGCGGGGACUCAUAGGAGACUGCCGGGGUCAACUCGGAGGAAGGUGGGGACGACGUCAAAUCAUCAUGCCCCUUAUGUCUUGGGCUUCACGCAUGCUACAAUGGCCGGUACAAAGGGUUGCGAUACUGUGAGGUGGAGCUAAUCCCAAAAAGCCGGUCUCAGUUCGGAUUGGGGUCUGCAACUCGACCCCAUGAAGUCGGAGUCGCUAGUAAUCGCAGAUCAGCAACGCUGCGGUGAAUACGUUCCCGGGCCUUGUACACACCGCCCGUCAAGUCACGAAAGUUGGUAACACCCGAAGCCGGUGGCCUAACCCCUUGUGGGAGGGAGCU
RNAcentral lists this ribosomal RNA (800 nucleotides) under Pseudarthrobacter sulfonivorans. RNAcentral describes it as "bacterial SSU rRNA". It matches the Rfam family "Bacterial small subunit ribosomal RNA", at positions 660 to 1454 of the family's 1533-position model. Lineage: Bacteria; Bacillati; Actinomycetota; Actinomycetes; Micrococcales; Micrococcaceae. The record is from RNAcentral.